GAUGAACGCUAGCGGCAGGCUUAAUACAUGCAAGUCGAGGGGUAACAUGGUAGCAAUACUGAUGACGACCGGCAAACGGGUGCGGAACACGUACAGAACCUUCCUUUAAGCGGGGGAUAGCCCAUAGAAAUGUGGAUUAAUACCCCAUAGUAAUAUUGACUGGCAUCAGUUGAUAUUUAAAGAUUUAUCACUUAAAGAUGGCUGUGCGGCUGAUUAGGUAGUUGGGUGGGUAACGGCCCACCAAGCCAGCGAUCAGUAACUGGUGUGAGAGCACGACCAGUCACACGGGCACUGAGACACGGGCCCGACUCCUACGGGAGGCAGCAGUAAGGAAUAUUGGUCAAUGGACGCAAGUCUGAACCAGCCAUGCCGCGUGAAGGAUGAAGGCCCUCUGGGUUGUAAACUUCUUUUAUCUGGGAAGAAAUGCCUGUUUUCUAACGGGUUUGACGGUACCAGAGGAAUAAGCACCGGCUAACUCCGUGCCAGCA
Molecule: ribosomal RNA, 488 nt
Filed under: uncultured bacterium
Lineage: Bacteria
Description: bacterial SSU rRNA
Rfam family: Bacterial small subunit ribosomal RNA
Source: RNAcentral